This is a long non-coding RNA of Myotis davidii, 231 nucleotides long. RefSeq lists it as uncharacterized. The record is from RefSeq and is a predicted model, not a curated record. The transcript is spliced from 3 exons. NCBI's taxonomy places the organism in Eukaryota, Metazoa, Chordata, Mammalia, Chiroptera, Vespertilionidae.
UGAAGAGGGUGGGCAUAGAGUAGAUGGAAAGUUGUGUUGAUGAGGGUGGGCAUAGGAGUAGGUCCAGAGUUCUUAAAUAGAGAGUGACACUAGAGGAUUUCCCAUCCCAGACAGUAGAAUUGAUGACUGCCUCAUCAUUCCAUGUCCGUUUCACCUGAAAAUAUUAAAAACCUGAGCAGAAUUGGAGGGUCCCUUGCCAGGUAAGAGCCUGUGAGGAAUGAUGGGUUAUUC